UAGGUAGGUGGCGAGCGUUGUCCGGAAUUACUGGGCGUAAAGGGUGCGUAGGCGGCUCCUUAAGUGAGGUGUGAAAUCCCUGGGCUCAACCCAGGAACUGCACUUCAAACUGGGGAGCUAGAGUGCAGGAGAGGAAAGCGGAAUUCCCGGUGUAGCGGUGAAAUGCGUAGAGAUCGGGAGGAACACCAGUGGCGAAGGCGGCUUUCUGGACUGUAACUGACGCUGAGGCACGAAAGCGUGGGGAGCAAACAGG
Molecule: ribosomal RNA, 253 nt
Filed under: uncultured bacterium
Lineage: Bacteria
Description: partial 16S ribosomal RNA
Rfam family: Bacterial small subunit ribosomal RNA
Source: RNAcentral